This 786-nucleotide long non-coding RNA is filed under the name Fukomys damarensis (Damara mole-rat). RNAcentral describes it as "lncRNA (ENSFDAG00000025003.1)". Lineage: Eukaryota; Metazoa; Chordata; Mammalia; Rodentia; Bathyergidae. The record is from RNAcentral.
GAGAACAGCCAUCAAGAAAUCAAGGCCACAUGGGAUCUUCCAGAAAGAAUUACGAGCAUCCUACCACAGCGAUGUAUGCACUCCCAUGUUUGUUUGUUUUUGUUUCUUUGGUACCAGGGAUUGAACUCAAGCCCUUGUACUUGAGAGGCCGGCAGUGGCACCACUGAGCUAAAUCCCUGGCCCUAUGUGUACACCCAUGUUUACAGCGGCACAGUCUGUUACAGCUGAAUCUAGGAAACAGCCCAACGAAUGGAUAAAGAAGAUUGGGGUUUUGUACAAUGGAGUACUACUCUGCCGUAAGGAAGGAUGCAUUUGAGACAUCACUUGUUCUCCUGCCUCAGGGCCUUUGCACAUGCCAUUUGCCUCACCCCAUCCUUCUGGACCCAGCCCUCUUCCUCCCUCAGGUCUGAGCUCAUGCAUCCUUACCUUGGAGCCUCCCUGCCACCUCCUCUUUCUGACCUCUCGUCCUCACCCCCAUCACCAUGUCAGUUUGUUCGCAGGUUGUCAUCUGACCUCUCACUGGAGUAUAAGCCCAUGACGCAGGUCUUGUCCUCUCUGCUGAUAUCACCUCAGUAUCCACCACAGUGCCUAGCCUAUACAGCCAGUGAGGGGGCGCACGCCUAUAAUCCCAGCACUCGGGAGGCUGAGGCAGGAGGAUCGCCAUGAGUUCAAGGCCAGCCUGGGCUACACAGUGAGUGCAAGGCCUGCCUGACACACACAAGACUACACACUUACACAUGAGACUGUCCCAAACUAACACAAGGAAAUUAUAUCUAUAUCUGUCUC